This 449-nucleotide ribosomal RNA is filed under the name uncultured bacterium. RNAcentral's name for it is "partial 16S ribosomal RNA". It matches the Rfam family "Bacterial small subunit ribosomal RNA", at positions 331 to 793 of the family's 1533-position model. The record is from RNAcentral.
CCAGACUCCUACGGGAGGCAGCAGUGGGGGAUAUUGCACAAUGGGGGAAACCCUGAUGCAGCGACGCCGCGUGGGCGAAGAAGUAUUUCGGUAUGUAAAGCCCUAUCAGCAGGGAAGAAGAAAUGACGGUACCUGAGUAAGAAGCACCGGCUAAAUACGUGCCAGCAGCCGCGGUAAUACGUAUGGUGCAAGCGUUAUCCGGAUUUACUGGGUGUAAAGGGAGCGCAGGCGGCACGGCAAGCCUGAUGUGAAAGCCCGCGGCCCAACCGCGGGACUGCAUUGGGAACUACCGGGCUGGAGUGCCGGAGAGGGAGGCGGAAUUCCUGGUGUAGCGGUGAAAUGCGUAGAUAUCAGGAGGAACACCGGUGGCGAAGGCGGCCUGCUGGACUGCGACUGACGUUGAGGCCCGAAAGCGUGGGGAGCAAACAGGAUUAGAUACCCCUGUAAAG